UGGGGAAUAUUGGACAAUGGGCGCAAGCCUGAUCCAGCCAUGCCGCGUGAGUGAUGAAGGCCUUAGGGUUGUAAUGCUCUUUUGGCGGGGACGAUAAUGACGGUACCCGCAGAAUAAGCCCCGGCUAACUUCGUGCCAGCAGCCGCGGUAAUACGAAGGGGGCUAGCGUUGUUCGGAAUUACUGGGCGUAAAGCGCACGUAGGCGGAUCAGCAAGUCAGGGGUGAAAUCCCGGGGCUCAACCUCGGAACUGCCUCUGAUACUGCUGGUCUGGAGUCCGGAAGAGGUGGGUGGAAUUCCUAGUGUAGAGGUGAAAUUCGCAGAUAUUAGGAAGAACACCGGUGGCGAAGGCGGCCCACUGGUCCGGUACUGACGCUGAGGUGCGAAAGCGUGGGGAGCAAACAGGAUUAGAUACCCUUGUAGUCCCUGAGCGGGCUGGCAAGGCGCAU
RNAcentral lists this ribosomal RNA (447 nucleotides) under uncultured bacterium. Its description in RNAcentral is "bacterial SSU rRNA". It matches the Rfam family "Bacterial small subunit ribosomal RNA", at positions 355 to 825 of the family's 1533-position model. The record is from RNAcentral.